GUAGGUGAACCUGCGGAAGGAUCAUUAACGAAUAACUAUGGUGUCUUGGCUGUCGCUGGCUCCUCGGAGCAUCGUGCACGCCCGCCAUUUUUAUCUAUCCACCUGUGCACCGAAUGUAGGUCUGGAUGACUCUCGUCUCCGGGCGGAUGCGAGGUUUGCGUGUGCGUAGCGCGUUCGCGCGCGUUGCGUACGGGCUCACCUCGAAUUUCCAGACUCUACGUCUUUUUACACACCCCAAACGUAUGAUGCA
Molecule: unclassified non-coding RNA, 250 nt
Filed under: plant metagenome
Description: partial contains small subunit ribosomal RNA, internal transcribed spacer 1, and 5.8S ribosomal RNA
Source: RNAcentral